CUUUUCCGACUGGCUCCUAUGGGAGGGGGGAGAAGGAAGGGAUUAACUUGGUUCUGGGCCACUGUCUGGUCUGGUUUGAUGCCCUCUUACUUUACUGGCCCCUCUCUUCUCCCUGACUCUCACUCUUCUCCACCCUGCCUCAGCGGCCUCCCAAGCCCACCCUGCAUUCUACUGGAAAUCUGGAGCAUGCGGCCACAAGGUGAAGACUCUGGCCACAGGCAGAAGAGCGGUCCUGGGGAGGAAGACGGGGGCGGUAUGUGUGUGAGGCCGAAGCUGGAGGGCCCGGCUGAUUCCAAGGGUCAGGAGCAGAGUAAGGACCAGGACAAUGGCGUUUGGCAAAGAUGGAACCAAGCUCCCACAGGAAACACUGAUUAAUACGGGACUGAAAAAGGCUCCUCAGAGCGAAGGUUUAGAUUUCUCCCCAAAGGAGCCCCACUCUGUCCUCAGCGUGCAUUCGGGGGAUCCUGCAUGCACCCUUUCUAUCCACCCCAGGAAGCCCUCACCUCAGCCCUGCUACCCACCUUGCCAUGCUCAGUCUCGGCAGUGACUUUGCCACCUUCUCGAGACACGAUCUUAGCCUUGACAAAUUCCUCUUUGUCAUCAGGCACGAAGACAUCCUUCUUGAGGUCGAAAGGCCUGGUUUGGGCUUCCAGCCGCUCUUUCUCUGACUUGCGCAGGUAGGGGGCAGCAGCCCCAAAGGCGGCCAUCUCCGAAUC
Cavia porcellus (domestic guinea pig) is the source of this 716-nucleotide long non-coding RNA. RefSeq lists it as uncharacterized. The transcript has 3 exons. Lineage: Eukaryota; Metazoa; Chordata; Mammalia; Rodentia; Caviidae. The record is from RefSeq and is a predicted model, not a curated record.